Molecule: ribosomal RNA, 1346 nt
Filed under: Psychrobacter sp.
Lineage: Bacteria; Pseudomonadati; Pseudomonadota; Gammaproteobacteria; Moraxellales; Moraxellaceae
Description: bacterial SSU rRNA
Rfam family: Bacterial small subunit ribosomal RNA
Source: RNAcentral
UUUCUAGCUUGCUAGAAGAUGACGAGCGGCGGACGGGUGAGUAAUACUUAGGAAUCUACCUAGUAGUGGGGGAUAGCUCGGGGAAACUCGAAUUAAUACCGCAUACGACCUACGGGAGAAAGGGGGCAGUUUACUGCUCUCGCUAUUAGAUGAGCCUAAGUCGGAUUAGCUAGAUGGUGGGGUAAAGGCCUACCAUGGCGACGAUCUGUAGCUGGUCUGAGAGGAUGAUCAGCCACACCGGGACUGAGACACGGCCCGGACUCCUACGGGAGGCAGCAGUGGGGAAUAUUGGACAAUGGGGGAAACCCUGAUCCAGCCAUGCCGCGUGUGUGAAGAAGGCCUUUUGGUUGUAAAGCACUUUAAGCAGUGAAGAAGACUCUUCGGUUAAUACCCGGAGACGAUGACAUUAGCUGCAGAAUAAGCACCGGCUAACUCUGUGCCAGCAGCCGCGGUAAUACAGAGGGUGCAAGCGUUAAUCGGAAUUACUGGGCGUAAAGGGAGCGUAGGUGGCUCGAUAAGUCAGAUGUGAAAUCCCCGGGCUCAACCUGGGAACUGCAUCUGAUACUGUUGAGCUAGAGUAUGUGAGAGGAAGGUAGAAUUCCAGGUGUAGCGGUGAAAUGCGUAGAGAUCUGGAGGAAUACCGAUGGCGAAGGCAGCCUUCUGGCAUAAUACUGACACUGAGGCUCGAAAGCGUGGGUAGCAAACAGGAUUAGAUACCCUGGUAGUCCACGCCGUAAACGAUGUCUACUAGUCGUUGGGUCCCUUGAGGACUUAGUGACGCAGCUAACGCAAUAAGUAGACCGCCUGGGGAGUACGGCCGCAAGGUUAAAACUCAAAUGAAUUGACGGGGGCCCGCACAAGCGGUGGAGCAUGUGGUUUAAUUCGAUGCAACGCGAAGAACCUUACCUGGUCUUGACAUAUCUAGAAUCCUGCAGAGAUGCGGGAGUGCCUUCGGGAAUUAGAAUACAGGUGCUGCAUGGCUGUCGUCAGCUCGUGUCGUGAGAUGUUGGGUUAAGUCCCGCAACGAGCGCAACCCUUGUCCUUAGUUACCAGCGGGUUAAGCCGGGAACUCUAAGGAUACUGCCAGUGACAAACUGGAGGAAGGCGGGGACGACGUCAAGUCAUCAUGGCCCUUACGACCAGGGCUACACACGUGCUACAAUGGUAGGUACAGAGGGCAGCUACACAGCGAUGUGAUGCGAAUCUCAAAAAGCCUAUCGUAGUCCAGAUUGGAGUCUGCAACUCGACUCCAUGAAGUAGGAAUCGCUAGUAAUCGCGGAUCAGAAUGCCGCGGUGAAUACGUUCCCGGGCCUUGUACACACCGCCCGUCACACCAUGGGAGUUGA